RNAcentral lists this long non-coding RNA (1196 nucleotides) under Equus asinus (donkey). RNAcentral describes it as "lncRNA (ENSEASG00005026967.1)". Lineage: Eukaryota; Metazoa; Chordata; Mammalia; Perissodactyla; Equidae. The record is from RNAcentral.
AAAAGUUUCCUGCCCAAGCACACAGAUAUUCUUUCACAAACCAUAAAGACCCUUUUAUGAAUCCAGCACUGUAACAGGCUGCUUUCCACACCACGUCGAGAGCCCAGUGCGUCAGCUCUCAAGAUAAAAUACAUUGCUAAUACACAAUUAGUGGGAGAGGUUGUCUACUGGAGAAUUUAUCUUAACGAAAGAAGGAAAAAGAAGCUUUUUUUUUUUUUUUUUUUGAAAAAGCAGAGAGGGUGCGGUCAGAUGUUAGGUUUUGCCUGAGAAAAGGGCCUUCCACUGCACUAGUACCUAAAUACUAGCAGAAGCUGCCUGGGAAGAGAGCCAAUGGAAGGACUUUGUUUGACCCAGCUGCCAAUCUCCCCUGAAGCCGUGCGCCAGACUAAACACUCACACUAUUUUAACUCAAAUCAGGCUACAGCAGCUGUUUGCUUUCCGGCUCUGAGCUCUGCACCCACGAUGGCCUGUGCCGUUUACCCAGCGAGCUCUGCUAGCUGCCUGGCUGGAAUCUGUUCCGGGUUGGGAGUUGUCAUUGGAGAGCACGUUUUAACCCUCUUCCUCGUGGUAAAUGUGGACCGUUUGUUGUUCGGCAUUUGGAUCGGGAACAAGGCCCGUACCACGCACCUCUAAGAACAAAGAUGGUACCUAUUCACCCUGACCCAGACUUCUUCGACCCCAGCAAGAUGGAAAGUUGGCAUCAGAGGAGCGGAGAGACUCACGUCAUUCUAAGAGUCAGUACUGACUGCUUAAUGCUCCCGCGAGUUCCUCCAGAAGCAACACCCAAGCACGCAAGUGUUGGAUUUUGUCCAAGAGACCAUGUAAUUUAUGAAGGAAGUGUACGUCAUUCACAUUUUCCAGAAAAGAGGACAAAAAACAGAAGUUGCUGUGCCCUUUUGCAGAUGUUGCUAUCUUGCAGAGAAACUUACGUGUUUGCAGCAAGACCCCUGCAAAAUGUUCCAGCCCCAAGGUCCUAAAGUUACCUUAAACUCAUUAGCAUCCUAUCUUCUCCUCUGGGAGGCUCUGAACAGCAUUUUUAGAUGAUGCAAUGUAUGUAACAGCAUGUUUACCUGCCACCCAUACACCCUAAAUGAAUACAGUUGUUACACAGUCGUUACAAAUAAACCUUGUAGUUUCCGCUCUCUUGUGUUUAAAGAGUCUACCGGCACUGAGCUUGGGGAGACCCUGCAUUGAGA